Molecule: ribosomal RNA, 674 nt
Filed under: Vairimorpha ceranae
Lineage: Eukaryota; Fungi; Microsporidia; Nosematidae
Description: SSU rRNA
Rfam family: Microsporidia small subunit ribosomal RNA
Source: RNAcentral
GUAUAUGAGGUGAUUAAUUGGAGGGCAAAUCAAGUGCCAGCAGCCGCGGUAAUACUUGUUCCAAGAGUGUGUAUGAUGAUUGAUGCAGUUAAAAAGUCCGUAGUUUAUUUUUUUAAGAAGCAAUAUGAGGUGUACUGUAUAGUUGGGAGAAAGAUGAAAUGUGACGACCCUGACUGGACGAACAGAAGCGAAAGCUGUACACUUGUAUGUAUUUUUUGAACAAGGACGUAAGCUGGAGGAGCGAAGAUGAUUAGAUACCAUUGUAGUUCCAGCAGUAAACUAUGCCGACGAUGUGAUAUGAGAAUGUUAAUUUGUAUUACAUAAUAGAAAUUUGAGUUUUUCGGCUCUGGGGAUAGUAUGAUCGCAAGAUUGAAAAUUAAAGAAAUUGACGGAAGAAUACCACAAGGAGUGGAUUGUGCGGCUUAAUUUGACUCAACGCGAGGUAACUUACCAAUAUUUUAUUAUUUAGAGAGAACGGUUUUUUGUUUGAGAAUGAUAAUAGUGGUGCAUGGCCGUUUUCAAUGGAUGCUGUGAAGUUUUGAUUAAUUUCAACAAGACGUGAGACCCUUAUUUUUUAUUAAAGACAGACACAAUCAGUGUAGGAAGGAAAGGAUUAAAACAGGUCCGUUAUGCCCUCUGACAUUUUGGGCUGCACGCGCAAUACAAUAGAUAUA